Molecule: long non-coding RNA, 1075 nt
Filed under: Arabidopsis lyrata
Lineage: Eukaryota; Viridiplantae; Streptophyta; Magnoliopsida; Brassicales; Brassicaceae
Description: long non-coding RNA (ALYR_LNC000744)
Source: RNAcentral
CACAAGUAAACUUCAACUUUAGGCUAAAAAUUGUCAAAUUAAUGUCUAAAAAGCUCCAUAUUCCAUUAAACUAACAUGAGGUUAAAUGGUUUGCCUCUGCAACUAAAAUCUUCAAAGCUCAACCCUUUUCAUUAGCAUCUAUCUACAUAGCCAAUCCAAUCCUAAAGAAGUUCCCUAAUCCAUUAAUGAUCAAAACCAACACAAAAUAAGAUUUCUUCUGCAACUAGAAUCUUCAAAGCUCUAGCUUGCUCAUUAGCUUCUACAUAAUCAAUCCAUUUCUAAACAAGUUCCCUAACCAAAUCAAACCAAAAACAAGAGUGGGUCUGUUCUGUAACCAGAAUCUUAGCUUGUUCAUUAGAUUCUACAUAGGCAAGACAAGAUUAAGUUUCUUCUGCAACUAGAAUCUUCAACGCUGUAGCUUUCUCAUAUAUAUAUAUAGAGGCUUCAUUUUCAAGACCAUUACUUACUUGUAUUGCUGCUCGAUUUUGUAAACAUCAGGGGCUAGUUCUCGACAAACCUCACACCAAUCUGCAUAAAACUCUACCACUGUCGGCUUCCCAUUCGACAAAGCCUAACAAUCCAUUUCAUAAAACUCACUAAGCAUUCGUAUUAAUUCAUUCUAUGAGUUCAAAAAACAUAGAUGAAGAAACCUCCUCGUAAGGCAACGCAGAAGCGGUUAAAUCCUUCAAGGAAAUCCCAAAAUCGAGCCUUGUCGAUACAAAUAACGACAAAGCCGCAAUUACAGUAACAGCCGCAACUCUUCUAUUGAUAUCCUUAUUGGGAGAUUCAGGGAAUCCAGAAGAAGAGGAAGAAGAAUCAGCAACAGAUGAUUCCACUUCCUUCGACGCAGCUGAACUUUCACCAAUAUUAUCUACUACCAAUCUCUCCUGAAUCAGUUAAAGGCUAGAUCUUUAGCUAAUUUGCCGUCGACCCAUUUCAAAAAAAUCGAAAUUUUCACCUGUUUGGUUUCGGAAGAUUCUGGGUUUGGUUUGCAACGAACAGCACGAAAUCUUGGAGCUCCUGUUUGGGUAACGAAUAAAGAUUGAUGAUUUCGAGGACUGAGAUUGAAUCCAUG